Long non-coding RNA from Balaenoptera ricei (Rice's whale), 110 nucleotides. RefSeq lists it as uncharacterized. The transcript is spliced from 3 exons. NCBI's taxonomy places the organism in Eukaryota, Metazoa, Chordata, Mammalia, Artiodactyla, Balaenopteridae. The record is from RefSeq and is a predicted model, not a curated record.
UCCUGCCACAAGGUAGGGCUUCCUGAGCAUCGGUCAUAUGGGAGCUUCCACGGCUUUUUAAGACUUUUGGAGUUAAUGGAGACCACAACAUAAUCUGUGAUCACAUGGAA